GACGAACGCUGGCGGCGUGCCUAAUACAUGCAAGUCGAGCGAACAGACGAGGAGCUUGCUCCUCUGACGUUAGCGGCGGACGGGUGAGUAACACGUGGAUAACCUACCUAUAAGACUGGGAUAACUUCGGGAAACCGGAGCUAAUACCGGAUAAUAUAUUGAACCCCAUGGUUCAAUAGUGAAAGACGGUUUUGCUGUCACUUAUAGAUGGAUCCGCGCCGCAUUAGCUAGUUGGUAAGGUAACGGCUUACCAAGGCAACGAUGCGUAGCCGACCUGAGAGGGUGAUCGGCCACACUGGAACUGAGACACGGUCCAGACUCCUACGGGAGGCAGCAGUAGGGAAUCUUCCGCAAUGGGCGAAAGCUUGACGGAGCAACGCCGCGUGAGUGAUGAAGGUCUUCGGAUCGUAAAACUCUGUUAUUAGGGAAGAACAAAUGUGUAAGUAACUAUGCACGUCUUGACGGUACCUAAUCAGAAAGCCACGGCUAACUACGUG
Molecule: ribosomal RNA, 497 nt
Filed under: uncultured bacterium
Lineage: Bacteria
Description: partial 16S ribosomal RNA
Rfam family: Bacterial small subunit ribosomal RNA
Source: RNAcentral